Actinia tenebrosa (Australian red waratah sea anemone) is the source of this 543-nucleotide long non-coding RNA. RefSeq lists it as uncharacterized. Lineage: Eukaryota; Metazoa; Cnidaria; Anthozoa; Actiniaria; Actiniidae. The record is from RefSeq and is a predicted model, not a curated record.
AUACUUUCCACUACUAUAUAAGCAUCUAUCUCGUUGAGGUUUAUCGGUCACCAACAGCGAUAGAUAAAGGUAUAAAAUAAUGAAGACGUUUAGCAUAUUUGCUUUACUUUUGAGUCUUUUUUUCUGGACUAGAGAGGCCCACUGCUACAACAUGUAUAACAUGCAAGGAAAACGAAACACCCAGAAUCGCGAAACAUCAAGCAGCUUUUGCAUUAUUGCAAAAACUAAAUGCAACGAUGAAUGGGUGAACCCCUGUUUAGUCUCAUCUGACAAACAACGAAACUACAUUGGAAGGCGUCCUGAGAAAGUUGUCUCAAGAUGUGAGAUGCAACGAAAGAAAUAUAAAGAUAAACAUUUUGAUAGAAAAGUAUGAUGACCGUGAACUAAGUAAAAUCCGUGCAACGUUUAAAGAAACUAGAUCUAAUGAUCGAUGAUGUAUGUCAAGCAUGUCGGGUUUUAUGGAGGGGAGUACUAGUAAAGCAAAUCCCUGAAUGUUUCCUGUACGUACAAUUCGCGUUAUUCAAAUAAAUGAUUUACAUUUGA